GUCCAGACUCCUACGGGAGGCAGCAGUGGGGAAUAUUGCACAAUGGGGGGAACCCUGAUGCAGCGACGCCGCGUGGGCGAGGAAGUAUUUCGGUAUGUAAAGCCCUAUCGGCAGGGAAGAAGGAGGACGGUACCUGACUAAGAAGCCCCGGCUAGCUACGUGCCAGCAGCCGCGGUAAUACGUAGGGGGCAAGCGUUAUCCGGAUUUACUGGGUGUAAAGGGGGCGCAGACGGCAGCGCAAGCCAGGAGUGAAAGCCCGGGGCCCAACCCCGGGACUGCUCUUGGAACUGCGCGGCUGGAGUGCAGGAGGGGCAGGCGGAAUUCCUGGUGUAGCGGUGAAAUGCGUAGAUAUCAGGAGGAACACCGGUGGCGGAGGCGGCCUGCUGGACUGCAACUGACGUUGAGGCCCGAAAGCGUGGGGAGCAAACAGGAUUAGAUACCCUCGUAU
Molecule: ribosomal RNA, 448 nt
Filed under: uncultured bacterium
Lineage: Bacteria
Description: partial 16S ribosomal RNA
Rfam family: Bacterial small subunit ribosomal RNA
Source: RNAcentral